GUCGGCGGACGAAGCCCGCGCAGCCCGGUCGCCGCUCCCGCCUUGGUGUGUGUGCAGUCCUUCUUGACACCGCCGCGUUCCGAGAGGGACGGACCCUCCUCCCCCCGGGGCCCCCUCCCGCCAGGAUGGCGCCGCCGGCCGCGCGCGGCGCCUGCUGACGCCCGCUGGACCGACGAGUGCGGCGACCGCUGCCCCCCGUUCCCCGAUGCGGGUGGAGCCGCCCGACCUGCAGUCCGGGCAGUGCAUGGCCUUCCAGCCGUUCCUGUUGCCCGGAGCCACGGCCAGCUCCAGCCCGCAGGCCCGGAGCCCUUCAGACUUCUCGAUGCACUCUAUCCUGAGCCAGCAGCCGCCGUACCUGCCGCUGGGGCUGCCGCACGCCGUGUUUCCGGGCGCGCCGCAGUUGUUUCCCAAGUUGGCCGUGCCGCCGCCGCUGCCCGGCCAGGGCCAGAUCACGCCCGAGGAACUGCUCGCCGCCAGGCACCUGAGGCCACCCGGGUUUGAGCCCGAGGACGAUGGUGUGCAGGACGACCCCAAAGUGAACCUUGAGGGGAAGGACCUGUGGGGGCGGUUCCACGAACUCGGCACCGAGAUGAUCAUCACCAAGUCCGGGAGGCGCAUGUUUCCUCCGUACAAAGUUCGAGUGACGGGUCUGGACAAGAAGGCCAAGUACAUCAUGCUGAUGGACAUCGUGGCGGCGGACGACUGCCGCUACAAGUUCCAGAACCGCCGCUGGGUGGUGGCGGGCAAGGCGGAUCCAGAGAUGCCCAAGCGCAUGUACAUCCACCCGGACUCGCCGUCGACCGGAGAGCAGUGGAUGCAGAAGGUGGUGUCCUUCCACAAGCUCAAGCUCACCAACAACAUAUCCGACAAGCACGGCUUUCAGACCAUCCUGAACUCGAUGCACAAGUACCAGCCCCGGUUCCACCUGGUGCGCGCCAACGACAUCCUCAAGCUGCCCUACAGUACCUUCAGGACGUACGUCUUCAAGGAGACUGAGUUCAUCGCCGUCACCGCCUACCAGAACGAGAAGAUCACGCAGCUCAAGAUCGACAACAACCCUUUCGCCAAGGGAUUCCGCGAAACCGGUGCUGCCAGAAAAGACAAAAAAAAGUACGCGCUCCCGCCAGCGUCCAAGUCCCUUCCUGGUGGCGCCAUGGCGCCGAGCGACGUGAGCUGCCCGACCAAAAUCGACGUGGACGACUCGUACUACAGCGACGACGACCGGCGGACGGAGCAGUCGCUGUCGGCUGACGAGGCGUCCGCGCCCCCGGGUGGCGACCUCUCCCCUCGACCGGGCCUCGACCUCGGUCGCUCUCCGGGCUCUCCGGAGCAGGCCAGCCUGAGCGACUACCUACCGUUUGGCGCCGGCCACACGUCCUUCCCGCUGCAGUACCUGUACAACCAGAGCCUCUACCAACAAAGCCUCAUGCUCCAGGACAUGAUCAUGUCCUCUGCGGCCGCCGCAGGCGCCACGUCACCAACGGGACGGCCGUCACCCUUCGGCUUCAACCCGUUCUCGGUGCGCAACCUCUUGAUGGCGAACGAGCAGAACUACCUGAAGGCGCCCAGUCCACUGAAGAUGGCGGACGCGGUGAGUCAGGAGCACCUCAAGAACCUCCGCUUCUUCCCGUACCCGCUGCCGGCGUGGCGGCUUCCCACUGGUCCCGGGGGGUCUUCGCCUCCCCCGCAUCCACCGACGGCGCAUCGCCCGGAUACGUCCUCGUCGCCCAAGUCGGACCCCGGACCGGCGGCGUCUCUUCUGCCGGGAGCCUUCUGCGGCGUCGGCGGCGUCGCGCAGUCGGAGAAGUUGUCCUCCAAGGACACCGACGAGGCACGAGGGUCUUCGUCGUCGCCGCUCGUGUCCCGGAGUCCGGUGCGCCCAGUGACAGUUCAGAACCACGUCGACGAGAACGCGCAUCGUGACGAAGACUGUGCCCCCGUGGAUGGGAAAGACUAGCAAAACCAUUCCACGAAAGAAAACGUUUCAGUGAGGCGUGCCUGUGUACGUGCGCAAUAUCCAGACGGGUUUCUAAAAAUAGAACCUUUCCGUCGUCUACGUCGGACACGUCGGACUGACUGACCUCAGCGUGCGUGUCCCGUCGAUACACGAUGCGCAUUCAGGAGACGCGUGGUCGCGGCUUCAGAGGUGAAUGAGCGCCGGGACGUUCACAAUCUUUGCUGCAGCAAUCAGUACCGUAGGCAGGCUUUCCCCUUUUGCAUUACCUGUUUUAUUUUUUUUUUCAUGCCUGGGUGGUCCGGGCUUUGACUCGGACGCCAUUGUUUUGCCGUUGCGUUGACCGAGUGAGUCCUCUUUAGAAGGUGCAUGCCCAAACCGCCUGGCGGUUGGGCUUUACAAUUCAGUCACGUGACUCGAAGAAACCAUUAGCAAACAAUGGAAUUCCAACGACCAUUCUUGAUUUUCUUCUGAGUGGCGUAGUCCGGUGUUUUGGAGAGGUUUCUUCACUAUGGAUGCAAAGAACCUGGUUCAGCGUCAGGACAGGGACAUAGCGAACGAACUGCUUGCCGAUUCAUACCGCGUCCCAGGAUUCGCGCGUGCUAAUGGCAGUGCUGUCGAGUCUUUAGCAACGUACGGUGAAAAUAUUUAUCGGAAGUCUAGGUACGGCCCAGUUUUAACUAGUUUUGCCCUGAAUGCGAGGAGGCUUAUGAAAUACUGAAUGGAGGAUGACUAGCUUGAAGCUGAAUUGGGCGUUCAUCAGGUUUGUGAUAGUUACUAUUAAAGAUCGAAUACAUAUUUUCGUGAGUCAGAGACCCUUCAAAACGCAAAAUGCGAAGAAUCAGUUUUACACGUUUUAUUGCAUGGUAAACUUUAAACCAGUUUGGCUUAAGAUUCGUAAUUACCAGCAAAGAAAGAUGAUUUUCAGUUUACUCGUGCAGAUGGUCGGCUUUUGCGUCAGAUAUUUGUCGAUUCGGUCACGACAGUAUCUCAAAGCACCGGCAUGUGGCAACAUGGGUGGAUCAUGAUGCCGAGUUAACGCGAAAUUGGAAGUCAACUUGUAAAACAAGGGAGUCUACGUGACACAUUCGAUGAAUUGGUUGGACUAGGUUACUGCGAUGGCAAGUAAUUAAUAUUCCCAAUAUCAAUCUUCAGAAGUCUCUAUAGUCCCAUUCAUUACAUUAUACUCCUCGCCUUCAAUCCGCGUCAAAGUCAACACGGUGUACAGGCACGUAGAGUACAGAUCGGCGCCAUGUAUCACGGGUAAAAUCAGCCGAAAACGCAUCUCUUUCCCAGGGGACCGUAGAAACCUCCGAAGUUGGACCACCCUAACAUCUAUCUUUUCCGUGGGAUUAUGCAAUACUCCUUAUCGCAUCAGCUGCCUGCAGAGGCGCGUAGCCCUGUGCGUAUCGUAUCUAGUCAUGCAGUAUGUACACAAAACUUGCUACGGAAGAAUCUCGCGUAUGUGUGUGACAGCUCCCCCGCCUCGUCUCGCUCCCAACUUGAGAGUUUUGCCACAAGUUCUUUCCGAGUGCACCGCGUGUAUCCACACCUACGCAGGAAUGAGCCCGGUGGAGUCUGCCACUCGUGGCGUAGGACAUUGCAUUUAAACACAAGGUCCUUCUUUGGCCCCAGGCAGAAAUUCCAGCACGCGUCAUUCGCGAGUGUACGCAUCACCGGCUUUUGGAGCCGUGUAUCCCCGAGAGUGCUAUUUAUUUUGCAGUGGUAUAGUUGUGUAUAAAUUUCUCGCGCUUCGGUUUCUUUCGAGACCUCGCAAGAGUCGAGAGUGGGUGUGCGCGCGUGCGUUUAUGAGAGUGUGUUUGUGUGCGUGUGUGUUUAUGUUGCAUUGAGUUAGUAGGACGGGCACGAGUUUUUCCUCUUAUGUGCGAUCGUGCAAAUUUGUGGCGUUCCUAAGUCCACUUUUUUUGUGUCACACUGAUAAAACGCAAAUUAAAUGGCAAAACCAAAGA
Molecule: unclassified non-coding RNA, 3924 nt
Filed under: Ixodes scapularis (black-legged tick)
Lineage: Eukaryota; Metazoa; Arthropoda; Arachnida; Ixodida; Ixodidae
Description: t-box protein 2, transcript variant X2
Source: RNAcentral